This 497-nucleotide ribosomal RNA is filed under the name uncultured bacterium. Its description in RNAcentral is "partial 16S ribosomal RNA". It matches the Rfam family "Bacterial small subunit ribosomal RNA", at positions 28 to 507 of the family's 1533-position model. The record is from RNAcentral.
GAUGAACGCUGGCGGCGUGCCUAAUACAUGCAAGUCGAGCGAACAGACGAGGAGCUUGCUCCUCUGACGUUAGCGGCGGACGGGUGAGUAACACGUGGAUAACCUACCUAUAAGACUGGGAUAACUUCGGGAAACCGGAGCUAAUACCGGAUAAUAUAUUGAACCGCAUGGUUCAAUAGUGAAAGACGGUUUUGCUGUCACUUAUAGAUGGAUCUGCGCCGCAUUAGCUAGUUGGUAAGGUAACGGCUUACCAAGGCGACGAUGCGUAGCCGACCUGAGAGGGUGAUCGGCCACACGGGAACUGAGACACGGUCCAGACUCCUACGGGAGGCAGCAGUAGGGUAUCUUCCGCAAUGGGCGAAAGCUUGACGGAGCAGCGCCGCGUGAGUGAUGAAGGUCUUCGGAUCGUAAAACUCUGUUAUUAGGGAAGAACAAAUGUGUAAGUAACUAUGCACGGCGUGACGGUACCUAGUCAGAAAGCCACGGCUAACUACGUG